UACGAGCACGACUGAGGUGGAGGGUCGUCUCACCUUGCCGUAGGCCUCGGGCUAGUCCCGGCUGCGGAGGGGAUGGCUGUGGGUUAAGCUGGGCACGAGAAAGUUAUUUCUGCCCUGCCAAGUGUCAGAGUCCAGUUUAUUUAAAGUUAUGUUAAGUGAAACAGACACAAGCUCCUUGUGUCCUUCAGGCAAGCCUGAGACAGGUCGGAACAGACAAGCACAACAAACCUCAAACCAUUAUCUGCCGUGUUCACCUCUUGGGGCCCCGAGAGGAUCAUGUAACGCACUAGGUGUGGAAAGGACGCUCCACCUCGUGACGGCGAGCGGCUAUCUACCUGUCAGACUCUAUCUUUUUAAGAGUCUCACGCUCUAUCCACUGAGCUAGCCAGCACCUGCUCGCUCUGUCUUGGUAAGUCCGUUUUUCUAUUAUCUAACUACACAGGGAAAGAAGCCAAAAGGCUACUGAGAGAUAGCUUAGAAUGGUGGC
This is a long non-coding RNA of Lemur catta (Ring-tailed lemur), 487 nucleotides long. RefSeq lists it as uncharacterized. The transcript is spliced from 3 exons. NCBI's taxonomy places the organism in Eukaryota, Metazoa, Chordata, Mammalia, Primates, Lemuridae. The record is from RefSeq and is a predicted model, not a curated record.